GAUCCGGUGGUUCUGAAUGGAAGGGCCCUCGCUCAACGGAUAAAAGGUACUCCGGGGAUAACAGGCUGAUACCGCCCAUGAGUUCAUAUCGACGGCGGUGUUUGGCACCUCGAUGUCGGCUCUUCACAUCCUGGGGCUGAAGUAGGUCCCAAGGGUAUGGCUGUUCGCCAUUUAAAGUGGUACGCGAGCUGGGUUUAGAACGUCGUGAGACAGUUCGGUCCCUAUCAGCCGUGGGCGCUGGAGAAUUGAGGGGGGCUGCUCCUAGUACGAGAGGACCGGAGUGGACGCAUCACUGGUGAUCGGGUUGUCAUGCCAAUGG
This 319-nucleotide ribosomal RNA is filed under the name Klebsiella pneumoniae. RNAcentral's name for it is "bacterial LSU rRNA". It matches the Rfam family "Bacterial large subunit ribosomal RNA", at positions 2417 to 2735 of the family's 2925-position model. Lineage: Bacteria; Pseudomonadati; Pseudomonadota; Gammaproteobacteria; Enterobacterales; Enterobacteriaceae. The record is from RNAcentral.